GGUUGAUCCUGCCAGUAGUCAUAUGCUUGUCUCAAAGAUUAAGCCAUGCAUGUCUAAGUAUAAACAACUUUAUACUGUAAAACUGCGAACGGCUCAUUAUAUCAGCAAUAAUUUAUUUGAUGUUUAUCUUACUACAUGGAUAACUGUAGUAAUUCUAGAGCUAAUACAUGCGUAAAGUCUCAACUCUCACGGGAAGGGAUGUAUUUAUUAGAUAAAAAACCAAUGCGGGUUAUGCUCGCUUUUGUGUUGAAUCAUAGUAACUAAUCGAACGCCAUAGCCUUGUGCUGGGCGU
This 292-nucleotide ribosomal RNA is filed under the name uncultured eukaryote. Its description in RNAcentral is "partial 18S ribosomal RNA". It matches the Rfam family "Eukaryotic small subunit ribosomal RNA", at positions 6 to 291 of the family's 1831-position model. The record is from RNAcentral.